RNAcentral lists this ribosomal RNA (461 nucleotides) under uncultured bacterium. RNAcentral's name for it is "partial 16S ribosomal RNA". It matches the Rfam family "Bacterial small subunit ribosomal RNA", at positions 338 to 795 of the family's 1533-position model. The record is from RNAcentral.
CCUACGGGCGGCAGCAGUGAGGAAUAUUGGUCAAUGGGCGGGAGCCUGAACCAGCCAAGUCGCGUGAGGGAAGACGGUCCUAUGGAUUGUAAACCUCUUUAGGCGGGGAGCAAUGCCGGGCACGCGUGCCCGGAGGGAGAGAACCCGCAGAAUAAGCAUCGGCUAACUCCGUGCCAGCAGCGGCGGUAAUCAGGAGGAUCCGAGCGUUAUCCGGAUUUUUUGGGUUUAAAGGGGGCGUAGGCGGGUUGAUAAGUCAGAGGUGAAAUGUCGGGGCUCAACCCCGAAACUGUCUCUAAUACUGUUGGACUAGAGAAGAGUUGAGGUAGGCGGAAUGCAUGGUGUAGCGGUGAAAUGCUUAGAGAUCAUACAGAACACCGAUUGCGAAGGCAGCUUACCAAACUAUAACUGACGUUGAGGCACGAAAGCGUGGGUAGCAAACAGGAUUAGAUACCCCAGUAGUC